GCCAGAGCGCCGCAUCAGGGACUGCUGACCUUCGGGGAUGUGGCCAUAGAAUUCUGUGAGGAGGAGUGGGGAUGCCUGAACCGCAGCCAGCGGGAACUGUACAGGGAUGUGAUGUUAGAGAACUACGGACACCUCCUCUUCUUGGGUCUUAUUGUGUCAAAGCCAGACCUGGUCAUCUUUCUGGAACAAAAGAAGGACGUCUGGGAUGUGAGGAGAAAGGAGACAG
Molecule: long non-coding RNA, 226 nt
Organism: Suricata suricatta (meerkat)
Lineage: Eukaryota; Metazoa; Chordata; Mammalia; Carnivora; Herpestidae
Exons: 3
Source: RefSeq, a predicted model, not a curated record